Molecule: ribosomal RNA, 583 nt
Filed under: uncultured bacterium
Lineage: Bacteria
Description: partial 16S ribosomal RNA
Rfam family: Bacterial small subunit ribosomal RNA
Source: RNAcentral
UGGGGAAUUUUGGACAAUGGGCGAAAGCCUGAUCCAGCAAUGCCGCGUGUGUGAAGAAGGCCUUCGGGUUGUAAAGCACUUUUGUCCGGAAAGAAAUCCUUGGCUCUAAUACAGUCGGGGGAUGACGGUACCGGAAGAAUAAGCACCGGCUAACUACGUGCCAGCAGCCGCGGUAAUACGUAGGGUGCAAGCGUUAAUCGGAAUUACUGGGCGUAAAGCGUGCGCAGGCGGUUUGCUAAGACCGAUGUGAAAUCCCCGGGCUCAACCUGGGAACUGCAUUUGGUGACUGGCAGGCUAGAGUAUGGCAGAGGGGGGUAGAAUUCCACGUGUAGCAGUGAAAUGCGUAGAGAUGUGGAGGAAUACCGAUGGCGAAGGCAGCCCCCUGGGCCAAAUACUGACGCUCAUGCACGAAAGCGUGGGGGAGCAAACAGGAUUAGAUACCCCUGGUAGUCCACGCCCUAAACGAUGUCAACUAGUUGUUGGGGAUUCAUUUCCUUAGUAACGUAGCUAACGCGUGAAGUUGACCGCCUGGGGAGUACGGUCGCAAGAUUAAAACUCAAAUGAAUUGACGAGGUCAUAGCUG